RNAcentral lists this ribosomal RNA (465 nucleotides) under Vreelandella stevensii. Its description in RNAcentral is "partial 16S ribosomal RNA". It matches the Rfam family "Bacterial small subunit ribosomal RNA", at positions 338 to 795 of the family's 1533-position model. The record is from RNAcentral. Lineage: Bacteria; Pseudomonadati; Pseudomonadota; Gammaproteobacteria; Oceanospirillales; Halomonadaceae.
CCUACGGGGGGCAGCAGUGGGGAAUAUUGGACAAUGGGGGGAACCCUGAUCCAGCCAUGCCGCGUGUGUGAAGAAGGCCCUCGGGUGGUAAAGCACUUUCAGUGAGGAAGAACGCCUGGUGGUUAAUACCCAUCAGGAAAGACAUCACUCACAGAAGAAGCACCGGCUAACUCCGUGCCAGCAGCCGCGGUAAUACGGAGGGUGCGAGCGUUAAUCGGAAUUACUGGGCGUAAAGCGCGCGUAGGUGGCUUGAUAAGCCGGUUGUGAAAGCCCCGGGCUCAACCUGGGAACGGCAUCCGGAACUGUCAAGCUAGAGUGCAGGAGAGGAAGGUAGAAUUCCCGGUGUAGCGGUGAAAUGCGUAGAGAUCGGGAGGAAUACCAGUGGCGAAGGCGGCCUUCUGGACUGACACUGACACUGAGGUGCGAAAGCGUGGGUAGCAAACAGGAUUAGAUACCCCGGUAGUC